This 419-nucleotide ribosomal RNA is filed under the name uncultured bacterium. Its description in RNAcentral is "bacterial SSU rRNA". It matches the Rfam family "Bacterial small subunit ribosomal RNA", at positions 355 to 786 of the family's 1533-position model. The record is from RNAcentral.
UGGGGAAUAUUGGACAAUGGGCGGAAGCCUGAUCCAGCAACGCCGCGUGAGGGAUGACGGCCUUCGGGUUGUAAACCUCUUUCAGCAGGGACGAAGCGCAAGUGACGGUACCUGCAGAAGAAGCACCGGCCAACUACGUGCCAGCAGCCGCGGUAAUACGUAGGGUGCGAGCGUUGUCCGGAAUUAUUGGGCGUAAAGGGCUCGUAGGCGGUCUGUCGCGUCGGGAGUGAAAACCAGGUGCUUAACACCUGGCUUGCUUUCGAUACGGGCAGACUAGAGGUAUUCAGGGGAGAACGGAAUUCCUGGUGUAGCGGUGAAAUGCGCAGAUAUCAGGAGGAACACCGGUGGCGAAGGCGGUUCUCUGGGAAUAUCCUGACGCUGAGGAGCGAAAGUGUGGGGAGCGAACAGGAUUAGAUACC